GACGAACGCUGGCGGCGUGCUUAACACAUGCAAGUCGAGCGAUGAAGCUCCUUCGGGAGUGGAUUAGCGGCGGACGGGUGAGUAACACGUGGGUAACCUGCCUCAUAGAGGGGAAUAGCCUUUCGAAAGGAAGAUUAAUACCGCAUAAGAUUGUAGUGCCGCAUGGCAUAGCAAUUAAAGGAGUAAUCCGCUAUGAGAUGGACCCGCGUCGCAUUAGCUAGUUGGUGAGGUAACGGCUCACCAAGGCGACGAUGCGUAGCCGACCUGAGAGGGUGGUCGGCCACAUUGGGACGGAGACACGGCCCAGACUCCUACGGGAGGCAGCAGUGGGGAAUAUUGCACAAUGGGGGAAACCCUGAUGCAGCAACGCCGCGUGAGUGAUGACGGUCUUCGGAUUGUAAAACUCUGUCUUCAGGGACGAUAAUGACGGUACCUGAGGAGGAAGCCACGGCUAACUACGUGCCAGCCGCCGCGGUAA
This 478-nucleotide ribosomal RNA is filed under the name uncultured bacterium. RNAcentral's name for it is "partial 16S ribosomal RNA". It matches the Rfam family "Bacterial small subunit ribosomal RNA", at positions 28 to 523 of the family's 1533-position model. The record is from RNAcentral.